GGCUAGGCAAGCAUGGCGUUGGUUGUCCAUGUGAAAGUAAGUAGGUUGAGAACUUAGGCAAAUCCGGGUUCUUAAGACUGAGAUACGAGACGAGUCACUACGGUGAUGAAGUUGUUGAUGCCAUACUUCCAGGAAAAUCCUCUAAGCUUCAGUUCAUGCUGAAUCGUACCCCAAACCGACACAGGUGGUCAGGUAGAGAAUACUAAGGCGCUUGAGAGAACUCGGGUGAAGGAACUAGGCAAAAUAGUACCGUAACUUCGGGAGAAGGUACGCUGCUGACGGUGAUAGGACUUGCUCCUUAAGCUGUUGGCAGUCACAGUAACCAGGUGGCUGGGACUGUUUAUUAAAAACACAGCACUGUGCAAAAUCGAAAGAUGACGUAUACGGUGUGACACCUGCCCGGUGCCGGAAGGUUAAUUGAUGGGGUUAUCUUCGGAGAAGCUCUUGAUCGAAGCCCCGGUAAACGGCGGCCGUAACUAUAACGGUCCUAAGGUAGCGAAAUUCCUUGUCGGGUAAGUUCCGACCUGCACGAAUGGUGUAACCAUGGCCACGCUGUCUCCACCCGAGACUCAGUGAAAUUGAAAUCGCAGUGAAGAUGCUGUGUACCCGCGGCUAGACGGAAAGACCCCGUGAACCUUUACUACAGCUUGGCACUGAACAUUGAACCUACAUGUGUAGGAUAGGUGGGAGACUUUGAAGCAGCGACGCUAGUUGUUGUGGAGUCGUCCUUGAAAUACCACCCUUGUAGUUUUGAUGUUCUAACGUAGGCCCCUAAUCGGGGUUGCGGACAGUGCCUGGUGGGUAGUUUGACUGGGGCGGUCUCCUCCCAAAGAGUAACGGAGGAGCACGAAGGUUUGCUAAGUACGGUCGGACAUCGUACGGUUAGUGUAAUGGUAGAAGCAAGCUUAACUGCGAGACGGACAAGUCGAGCAGGUACGAAAGUAGGUCAUAGUGAUCCGGUGGUUCUGAAUGGAAGGGCCAUCGCUCAACGGAUAAAAGGUACUCCGGGGAUAACAGGCUGAUACCGCCCAAGAGUUCAUAUCGACGGCGGUGUUUGGCACCUCGAUGUCGGCUCAUCACAUCCUGGGGCUGAAGUCGGUCCCAAGGGUAUGGCUGUUCGCCAUUUAAAGUGGUACGCGAGCUGGGUUUAGAACGUCGUGAGACAGUUCGGUCCCUAUCUGCCGUGGGCGUUUGAGAAUUGAGAGGGGCUGCUCCUAGUACGAGAGGACCGGAGUGGACGAACCGCUGGUGUUCGGGUUGUGAUGCCAAUCGCAUUGCCCGGUAGCUACGUUCGGAAUCGAUAAGCGCUGAAAGCAUCUAAGCGCGAAGCGAGCCUCGAGAUGAGUUCUCACUUGGAGUUUAACUCCACURAAGGGCCGUUGGAGACUACAACGUUGAUAGGUAGGGUGUGGAAGCGCUGUGAGGCGUUAAGCUAACCUAUACUAAUUACCCGUGAGGCUUAACCAU
RNAcentral lists this non-coding RNA (1467 nucleotides) under Pseudoalteromonas ulvae. RNAcentral's name for it is "Bacterial large subunit ribosomal RNA". It matches the Rfam family "Bacterial large subunit ribosomal RNA", at positions 1481 to 2925 of the family's 2925-position model. The record is from Rfam by way of RNAcentral. Lineage: Bacteria; Pseudomonadati; Pseudomonadota; Gammaproteobacteria; Alteromonadales; Pseudoalteromonadaceae.